RNAcentral lists this ribosomal RNA (309 nucleotides) under Bacillus velezensis. RNAcentral describes it as "bacterial SSU rRNA". It matches the Rfam family "Bacterial small subunit ribosomal RNA", at positions 62 to 360 of the family's 1533-position model. The record is from RNAcentral. Lineage: Bacteria; Bacillati; Bacillota; Bacilli; Caryophanales; Bacillaceae.
UCGAGCGGACCGACGGGAGCUUGCUCCCUGAGGUUAGCGGCGGACGGGUGAGUAACACGUGGGUAACCUGCCUGUAAGACUGGGAUAACUCCGGGAAACCGGGGCUAAUACCGGAUGCUUGAUUGAACCGCAUGGUUCAAUUAUAAAAGGUGGCUUUUAGCUACCACUUACAGAUGGACCCGCGGCGCAUUACCUAGUUGGUGAGGUAACGGCUCACCAAGGCGACGAUGCGUACCCGACCUGAGAGGGUGAUCGGCCACACUGGGACUGAAACACGGCCCAAACUCCUACGGGAGGCAGCAGUAGGGA